CCUACGGGUGGCAGCAGUGGGGAAUUUUGGACAAUGGGCGCAAGCCUGAUCCAGCUAUUCCGCGUGUGGGAUGACGGCCUUCGGGUUGUAAACCACUGUCGUAGAGAACGAACGGUCUGUGGAUAAUACCGAUAGAUGAUGACGGUACUCUCAGAAUAAGCACCGGCUAACUACGUGCCAGCAGCCGCGGUAAUACGUAGGGUGCGAGCGUUAAUCGGAAUUACGGGGCGUAAAGGGCUCGCAGGCGGUUUUGCAAGACGGAUGUGAAAGCCCCGGGCUUAACCUGGGAAAGGCAUACAUGACUGGCAGACUAGAGUGCGUCAGAGGGGGGUGGAAUUCCAAGUGUAGCAGUGAAAUGCGUAGAUAUUUGGAAGAACACCGAUGGCGAAGGCAGCCACCUGGGACGCAACUGACGCUCAUACACGAAAGCGUGGGGAGCAAACAGGAUUAGAUACCCCUGUAGUC
This 465-nucleotide ribosomal RNA is filed under the name uncultured bacterium. Its description in RNAcentral is "partial 16S ribosomal RNA". It matches the Rfam family "Bacterial small subunit ribosomal RNA", at positions 338 to 795 of the family's 1533-position model. The record is from RNAcentral.